AUGCACGCUGGCGGCGUGCUUAACCCCUGCAAGUCGAACGGUGAAGCAGAGCUUGCUCUGUGGAUCAGUGGCGAACGGGUGAGUAACACGUGAGCAACCUGCCCCUGACUCUGGGAUAAGCGCUGGAAACGGCGUCUAAUACUGGAUAUGAGCUGCGACCGCAUGGUCAGCAGUUGGAAAGAUUUUUCGGUCUGGGAUGGGCUCACGGCCUAUCAGCUUGUUGGUGAGGUAAUGGCUCACCAAGGCGUCGACGGGUAGCCGGCCUGAGAGGGUGACCGGCCACACUGGGACUGAGACACGGCCCAGACUCCUACGGGAGGCAGCAGUGGGGAAUAUUGCACAAUGGGCGAAAGCCUGAUGCAGCAACGCCGCGUGAGGGAUGACGGCCUUCGGGUUGUAAACCUCUUUUAGCAGGGAAGAAGCGAAAGUGACGGUACCUGCAGAAAAAGCGCCGGCUAACUACGUG
This 466-nucleotide ribosomal RNA is filed under the name uncultured bacterium. Its description in RNAcentral is "partial 16S ribosomal RNA". It matches the Rfam family "Bacterial small subunit ribosomal RNA", at positions 29 to 507 of the family's 1533-position model. The record is from RNAcentral.